UCCCGGCCCCCAGCGCUCAGCCUGCGCGCUCCGCCCUCUCACCGACGAGGUCCCCGAGCCCAGGCUCACGUUCAUGACUCUGUCGAUGCGGCGCCGCAGGACCCGCAGCCAGUGCGCCUGCCCGGAGUGCUGGGCCAUGUAGGGCUCCAGGUACGGCCACUUCUUGUUCAGCUCACGGUUCACGAGGGCCAGCUCGCCAUUGAACAGCAUGUAGAGAUCCACCGCCUUCUUGUCAUAUGUUCGCUUGAUAGCCUGACGGACGAGAGGACGCUGACAACACAGCGAGGGCAGGUGGCUCCCCGUCCCGCUCCCAAGCCAUCCAGACACUGGGGGACCAGUGGGACGAUAAGAGACACUGGCAACUUAGAGAGGGCGUGGGCAGAGGCUGGAGGGCGUGUGGAAGGAGCAGGAGGAAAGCAUAAGAAGCAGGGCUGGAGGAGGCGGCGAGCAGCCGCACCUCUCGGGCUGCGAGCCGGUGGAAGGUGUCCAGCAGCAGCACCCCGUGCUCCACGUCGCGGACGAGCUCGAAGGCGGAGGUGAUCAAGUUCUGAGUCAUCACCUCCAGGUCCUUGACUCCAGCCCGGAACCUGCACCAUUGGAGGCACGUCGAAGGGUGCGGGCCUCGCCUGGCCCCGAGUUCUGCCCUGAGCAGGACUCCGAGGUCUUACGUCCUGAGGGCUCCCAAGGUGCAGACACCGCGUGCUUGACCUGCAGUUAGUCCUCAAAACAACGCACUGAGGCAAGGCCUUAUUGCUAACAACAGUAUUUUACAGGUGAGGAAACCGCGGCUGCAGCUGGGAGAGCAAUUGCCCAGAGUCCCCUCACCAGUUUGUGGCAGACCCGGGAUCUGCACCCAGAGAAAGGCUGACUCUGGAACCCUGAGUCGGAGCGGCCACCUCCUUCCUUGUGCUCCCCCAACCCCGUUCCUGGCCCCGCCUCUGGCCCCCGCAGCCCCUCCCCAGCCGGAAGCCCUCACCUGUUGUAGUCUUCAUGCCAAGAGGUGUUCUUGACGUCCAGGAUGCCACCUCGCACGGCUCGCAGCACGUGCAGGUUUUUAUGAAAGAUGUCCUCGAUCUCCAGCAAGUUCCGCGUUAUCUGGGGCCCCUGAGCUCCAAAGAAGCAGGGAAGGGGGCCUUGCUUGCCAUCUUCCCAGCGGGCGAAAUGAUACUGACAGUCACAUACCUGCAAGGAAGGCGGCAUGAGGCCCCCUGCCCUCCCUUCUGAAUGUGUUAGGUCCUGAGCACUGUGGUGUAGCUUAAAACGUCUAGAAACUAAGGGGACCAAGCAGACGCAAGGGACUGCCGGGGCUUGAAUUUUAGCUGCAGAAUGAAACAUGAGGCACUAAGGCAGGGGGAGCGGGCACAGGUCUCAAAAGUCGGGAUGGUGGUCGGACACAGAGAUGCUGGAGGGUCAAAGCAGCGAGCUCCAAGAGCAAGCGCAGGCCCAGCCCCAGGCCCCCCGCUCCGGCAGCCCCGCUGUCGG
Molecule: long non-coding RNA, 1482 nt
Filed under: Sus scrofa (pig)
Lineage: Eukaryota; Metazoa; Chordata; Mammalia; Artiodactyla; Suidae
Description: lncRNA (ENSSSCG00005040886.1)
Source: RNAcentral